Molecule: ribosomal RNA, 421 nt
Filed under: uncultured archaeon
Lineage: Archaea
Description: partial 16S ribosomal RNA
Rfam family: Archaeal small subunit ribosomal RNA
Source: RNAcentral
CUACGGGUGGCUCCAGGCGCGAAACCUCUACAAUGCACGCAAGUGUGAUAGGGAAACCCCUCGUGCUUAUCGAAAGAUAGGCUUUUGUUAUGUGUAAUGAGCAUAUCGAAUAAGUGAUGGGCAAGACUGGUGCCAGCAGCCGCGGUAAUACCAGCGUCACAAGUGGAGAUCGCUUUUAUUGGGUCUAAAGUGUCCGUAGCUGGUUUGAUCAGUUCUUUGUGAAAUUUCUUUGGCUUAACCAAGAAAUUGCAAGGAAUACUGUCAAACUUGAGACCGGGAGAGGUAAGAAGUAUUGUUUGGGUAGCGGUAAAAUGUUAUAAUCCUUACAAGACUAACUAAUGCGAAGGCAUCUUACUAGAACGGAUCUGACAGUGAGGGACGAAAGCUAGGGUAGCGAACCGGAUUAGAUACCCCCGUAGUC